GGCCCCAUGGUGUAACGGUUAGCACUCUGGACUCUGAAUCCGGCGAUCUGAGUUCAAAUCUCGGUGGGACCU
RNAcentral lists this transfer RNA (72 nucleotides) under Ornithorhynchus anatinus (platypus). RNAcentral describes it as "tRNA-Gln (CTG) (tRNA-Gln-CTG-8-1)". It matches the Rfam family "tRNA". From Rfam's summary of the family: Transfer RNA (tRNA) molecules are approximately 80 nucleotides in length. Their secondary structure includes four short double-helical elements and three loops (D, anti-codon, and T loops). The record is from RNAcentral. Lineage: Eukaryota; Metazoa; Chordata; Mammalia; Monotremata; Ornithorhynchidae.